AUACGGAGGGUGCAAGCGUUAUCCGGAAUUAUUGGGUUUAAAGGGUCCGUAGGCGGCUAGAUAAGUCAGUGGUGAAAUUCUCUCGCUCAACGAGAGACCUGCCAUUGAUACUGUCUUGGCUAGAGUUACAGUGAGGUGAGUGGAAUGUGUAGUGUAGCGGUGAAAUGCAUAGAUAUUACACAGAACACCGAUUGCGAAGGCAGCUCACUAACUGUAUACUGACGCUGAUGGACGAAAGCGUGGGGAGCGAACAGGAUUAGAAACCCUAGUAGUCC
RNAcentral lists this ribosomal RNA (275 nucleotides) under uncultured bacterium. RNAcentral describes it as "partial 16S ribosomal RNA". It matches the Rfam family "Bacterial small subunit ribosomal RNA", at positions 523 to 796 of the family's 1533-position model. The record is from RNAcentral.